UACAGAGGGUGCAAGCGUUGUUCGGAAUUAUUGGGCGUAGAGGGUGCGUAGGCGGUGCGGUAAGUCUGUAGUGAAAUCUCUGGGCUCAACUCAGAGUCUGCUAUAGAAACUGCCGUGCUUGAGUGUGGGAGAGGUGAGUGGAAUUCACGGUGUAGCGGUGAAAUGCGUAGAUAUCGGGAGGAACACCUGUGGCGAAAGCGGCUCACUGGACCACAACUGACGCUGAUGCACGAAAGCUAGGGGAGCAAACAGG
RNAcentral lists this ribosomal RNA (253 nucleotides) under uncultured bacterium. RNAcentral's name for it is "partial 16S ribosomal RNA". It matches the Rfam family "Bacterial small subunit ribosomal RNA", at positions 524 to 776 of the family's 1533-position model. The record is from RNAcentral.